UGAGAGACCGCAUACAGCUUUGAAA
RNAcentral lists this microRNA (25 nucleotides) under Gallus gallus (chicken). RNAcentral's name for it is "gga-miR-6571-3p (MIR6571)". The record is from RNAcentral. Lineage: Eukaryota; Metazoa; Chordata; Aves; Galliformes; Phasianidae.